Contarinia nasturtii (swede midge) is the source of this 777-nucleotide long non-coding RNA. RefSeq lists it as uncharacterized. Lineage: Eukaryota; Metazoa; Arthropoda; Insecta; Diptera; Cecidomyiidae. The transcript is spliced from 2 exons. The record is from RefSeq and is a predicted model, not a curated record.
AAUUUCCAUCGAUUUUAUUCAUAUUAACAGUGAUAUGGAUUCUUUUUCUUCUUGGCGAAAAUCGACCAACGCAUUCAAUUCUUUACGUGUUGGUUACGAUAUGCUUUUUUUUACACAACCAAAAGAAAUGCAAUGUAUGGACCACACGGUAUGGUCUUAUAUACUAAAAAAGAAUUCACAAUGCACAAAUAAGUAUAUUGGCACAAAACGCAUUGCGUAUUCGGAACGUAAUAACUGGAAUCCGUAUAGAAAACGCUACAAUAAGCGUAACGCCCCACCGCAACUUGAUAUAUACAAACCUCGUAAUGUGUAUUUAAGUUCACACGCAUUUCUUCCUUUGUUAUCGAAUGAUUGUCGUCAAACAAUUUAAUUACUUUGAAAACUUUGUGCUGCCAUUUUAAAUAUUAAAAUCUAUCAUGAAUAUCCAGAAAUUUCUUGAUGAUUAUAUUCCAUGGAGCUAUAUAGCUGUGUGGUAUAUUCUCUUGAAUGUAGUCACCAUUUUUGUGUACAAAUACGAUAAAGAAGAGUCUAUGAGACCUAAAAGAGCGCGAAAAAAUCGCGUAUCAGAAGUUAACCUUCAUUUGCUUAGCCUGUUGGGUGGAUGGGUCGGUGCUUUUAUCGCACAACGCUGUUUUCGACAUAAAACCGCAAAAGGGUGGUUCCAAUUUGGAUUUUUGGUUACUAUUGUUUGUAAUAUUUCUUUGUUAUAUAAAUUUAUCGGUUUCCUAAACAAUUUAAAAUCCCAAUAAAAAUCAAUUUGUGAAAUUUCCACGACAA